ACUCACGAAGUGGUUGUAGUA
RNAcentral lists this microRNA (21 nucleotides) under Heliconius melpomene (postman butterfly). Its description in RNAcentral is "Hme-Mir-2-P3-v2_5p* (star (passenger))". Lineage: Eukaryota; Metazoa; Arthropoda; Insecta; Lepidoptera; Nymphalidae. The record is from RNAcentral.